Molecule: unclassified non-coding RNA, 749 nt
Filed under: Hevea brasiliensis (rubber tree)
Lineage: Eukaryota; Viridiplantae; Streptophyta; Magnoliopsida; Malpighiales; Euphorbiaceae
Source: RNAcentral
ACCAGUCGCAUGGAAAUGUUGAGGUAAGUUUAGGGUUUUGAUUUGUUUGAAAGGAGCUGAAUUUUUGGUAGAUUUAUGGGAUUUUGCUGUGAUUGUGUAUAAACUUUAGAGAGAUGGGUGCUCUUGGAUUUUGGUUCUGCUUCGUGAUCUUUGGUUCUUCGUUUGUAUGAUUUUGUUGCUGGAGUUAAUCAUGCCUUCUUCCUUGCUUAAUUUUGUAAGGAUCAAAUUUCUUAAGAUAUUGGUAUUUGUCUUAGAAAUACAUAAAAAUACAUUGCUUUCGGUGAUGAAAUUUCCACUCGGGAAAUUUCAGGCAAUUACGUGGUUAUGGCUUUCAUGGUUGUUGAUGACUUACCUGGUUUUGAUUACUUUUUCAAAUUGCUGUCACAUUUUGUUUUUUCAAAUCAGUUUCCCUACUUUAUUUUGCCAUUGUAGGUUAUGCAGGUGCUUCCUUUUCUGUUUUCACUGUAGAUAUAUAGUUACACUCGAUUGAAGGGUGAGAGACAUAUAUGGAUACGAUAAGAUUUGGUAGAUAUUUUGCUCGAUAGAGGAGGUUUAAAUUGUGAUGAGAGAGUGAGGGCAAGUGAAAGGGUGAGAGGAGUGAGAUUUCAUAUCAAACCUAAAGUUUUUCCGUUUGCUUAAUGUCAGGAUUAUUGGCUCUAGGCUUCUCUUUUACUUUCGAUUCUUCUUUGGAAACUUCAUUUUACAGGAACGCUUGCCACUGGAGUAAGUUUUUGGGCAACUAAGAAGUA